GGGGGUAUAGCUCAGUGGUAGAGCAUUUGACUGCAGAUCAAGUGGAGCCCGGUUCAAAUAUGGGUACCUCCU
This is a non-coding RNA of Danio aesculapii, 72 nucleotides long. The record is from the annotation of a RefSeq genome assembly. Lineage: Eukaryota; Metazoa; Chordata; Actinopteri; Cypriniformes; Danionidae.